Tachysurus vachellii is the source of this 236-nucleotide long non-coding RNA. RefSeq lists it as uncharacterized. NCBI's taxonomy places the organism in Eukaryota, Metazoa, Chordata, Actinopteri, Siluriformes, Bagridae. The record is from RefSeq and is a predicted model, not a curated record. The transcript is spliced from 3 exons.
CGUCUUCCGUGCGAUUUUGGACCUCCACUGAGAUGAGGCCGACUCUGUGAGAAUCCUGAGGCAUCUACAGAUCUACCAGCUCCAGUUGGACUCUGUGAUCUGAAUUCCAUAGGGCGUCUAGCGUUUCUGAGAAAUAGAGGUUGCCGAGCUCAGGUCAGAGUUCAUUAAAGAUUGCAAGAGCUCGCAGCGUAAACUGUUAUCUGUUAUUUCUCUGCAGGGUUAUUUGAUAGCAAACC